Molecule: long non-coding RNA, 527 nt
Filed under: Pan troglodytes (chimpanzee)
Lineage: Eukaryota; Metazoa; Chordata; Mammalia; Primates; Hominidae
Description: long non-coding RNA NONPTRT017662
Source: RNAcentral
GAAAAAGAGAGAGACGCCAGCCUCCUUUCCACCUCGUGGGAAGUGUUCUGCUUCUCCGGGUAACUCUGGACAUUAAAACUGGUGUUUGUUUGACCUAAAAUCAUAGAUACAGAUGUGCAGCCAGGUAGAGAGAUGCCCACAGUUGACUCCAUCUCAGUGCGAUUCGACUGAAACGUUAUAUGCCGCCUUAAUGAAGGGCUAACUUAAAAGAGUUUUUUCAAUGCUGCAGUGACUGAAGAAGCAGUCCACUCCCAUGUAACCAUGAAAGAGAGCCAGAGAGCUUUUUGCACCAUGCAUUUUUACUAUUAUUUUCCAAUACUUAGCACCAUUUCACUAAGGAACCUUGAAUACAACCAGGAUCCUCCUUUGCAUGCGACUGUAGCUGCAUUUCAUGAAUAGUUUGAACCCUUGUCAAUGCAUUUUUUGAAAAAGAAAGAAAAAAAAAACUUCGUGUAUGUGACUCAAAGCAUGUAACCUUAAGAUGUUGCAUUCUAAACUGACAAUAAAGACCUUUCCCAAAUAUGAUG